This 1098-nucleotide ribosomal RNA is filed under the name Triticum aestivum (bread wheat). RNAcentral's name for it is "partial small subunit ribosomal RNA". The record is from RNAcentral. Lineage: Eukaryota; Viridiplantae; Streptophyta; Magnoliopsida; Poales; Poaceae.
AUGUCAGACAUUCUUGCAGUAGCUCUAGGAGGAGCUGCAGGAGGUUUGGCAUUAGUUGGUGCCAUCACACUCAUUGUAGUGCUAUGCCUACGGCACGGCAGACGGAAUUCAGAUUCUUCAGAGAGUAAUUCGUCCGGUCAAGCUCUUCCAGACAUGCAAGGAGCAAGAUGUAUGACACUGGAGGAACUAAGGUCUGCUACAAAUAACUUCAGCAGCUCGAAUCUCGUCGGACAUGGAAUGUUCGGAGAGGUAUACAACGGUUUGCUCCAGGAUGGCACAAUUAUAGCGGUUAAAAGGCGGCAUUCUCCUCCUAGCCAGGAAUUUCUCCAUGAGGUUAAUUACCUGUCGUCUAUCCGUCGUCAUCCCAACCUUGUAAAUCUCUUGGGGUAUUGCCAGGACAAUGGCAUGCAGAUGCUUGUUUAUCAGUAUGUCCCCAAUGGCAGCAUUUCUGCGCAUUUGCAUGGCAACGGCAAUUCUCCAACUGUGAGGCUAGAAUUCAAGCAGAGACUUGCUAUUGCUCAUGGAACCGCUAAGGGCCUGAGUCACCUGCAUUCCAUGACCCCUCCUGCUGUUCACAUGAACUUCAAAACUGCUAAUGUCCUGGUGGAUGCGGAUUUCUUACCAAAAGUUGCUGAUACUGGCAUCCGAGGCCUACUUGAUCGACUAGGCAAUGCUGGCCCGCCUUCGAUGAUAUUCAAUGAUCCAUUCGUUGAUCCUCGGGGGAAGGAGUCCAUGAUUUUUUCCAUACAAAGUGAUGUAUACAGUUUUGGUGUGUUCCUUGUGGAGUUGAUCAGUGGAAGGACGGCUGCGUCUGAUCAAGGCAUUAUUGAAUGGGUUCGGAACUUUCAAGAAUCAAGUGAAAUCUCUGCAAUAGCAGAUAGGAGAAUGACCAGUGGCUUUACCCCACAAGGCAUGAAGGAAUUGUUGCGCUUGGCAUCGCGGUGCGUGAACCCGACAAGCGAGGAUCGUCCGUCGAUGAGCCUGGUGGAAGCCGAGAUACACCGGAUACGCGAGCAGGAGAUCAGGAGGACGACAGCCAUGCCAGUGGGCGACACAACUGUGACCCUAGGCAGCCAACUCUUCACAUCAUCAAGAUGA